This 108-nucleotide small nuclear RNA is filed under the name Sinocyclocheilus grahami. RNAcentral describes it as "U1 spliceosomal RNA (ENSSGRG00000045452.1)". It matches the Rfam family "U1 spliceosomal RNA", at positions 12 to 123 of the family's 166-position model. From Rfam's summary of the family: U1 is a small nuclear RNA (snRNA) component of the spliceosome (involved in pre-mRNA splicing). The record is from RNAcentral. Lineage: Eukaryota; Metazoa; Chordata; Actinopteri; Cypriniformes; Cyprinidae.
GCAUGGGAGACACCAUGAUGAAGAAGGUGGUUCACCCAGGGCGAGGAUAGGCCAUUGCACUCCAGCCAUGCUGACCCCCAUCUUCGGGGAUGUGCCGUAUGGAAGUGC